This is an RNA transcript of Rhea pennata, 4349 nucleotides long. It is a transcript of the gene named solute carrier family 25 member 24, with no coding region annotated. The record is from RefSeq and is a predicted model, not a curated record. Lineage: Eukaryota; Metazoa; Chordata; Aves; Rheiformes; Rheidae. The transcript is spliced from 14 exons.
CCGCUGCGGCCGCGCUGCGGGCCGUUGCCGCCCGCGAUUUCAAAUCCCAACCGUCGCCGCGGCGGGCGGCGCCUCGCGCCCCUCCCUCCCCCUCGCACUGAGGUGGGCAGCCACGUUCUGUCUCCUUCCCUUCCCUUUCCUUCCUUUCCCUCCCCUCCCUCCCUCCGGCGGCCGCGGGCGUUGUCGGCGGCGCCGCCCGCCCCCACUCCGCCCCGCUCCGCCCGCGGGAGCCCCGCGCUCCCUCUCCGGCGCUGCCGCCGCCGCCUGCCGCCGCCGCGCCAUGUUCCAGCUGCUGCGGGGCUUCGCGCUGCCCGGCGCCGCCUGCGACAGCGGCAGGGACGCCGACUCGCGCUACGCCAACCUCUUCAGGAAGCUAGACCUCAACGAAGAUGGGCGGGUGGACAUCGCCGAGCUCCAGACGGGCCUGCGGGCCAUGGGCAUCCCCCUGGGCAAGGAGGCGGAGGAGAAAAUUUUUAAAGCUGGAGAUACUAACCAGGAUGGGCAGCUAGAUUUUGAGGAAUUUAUGCAGUAUCUUAAAGAUCAUGAGAAAAAAAUGAAACUGGCAUUUAAGAGCCUGGACAAAAACAAUGAUGGCAAAAUUGAAGCAUCAGAAGUUGUCCAGUCCCUCAAGAUAUUGGGUAUAAACAUUUCAGAAAAACAGGCAGAAAAGAUCUUGCAAAGUAUCGAUGCUGAUGGGACAAUGACGGUAGACUGGAAUGAGUGGAGAGAUCACUUUAUGUUUAACCCAGCUACAGACAUUGAAGAAAUAAUUCGAUAUUGGAAACAUUCCACUGUGUUGGAUAUUGGAGAUAGUCUGACCAUUCCAGAUGAAUUCACAGAAGAAGAGAAAAAGACUGGACAGUGGUGGAAACAGCUACUUGCAGGAGGAGUGGCUGGUGCUGUCUCUCGAACAGGUACAGCGCCAUUAGAUCGUCUUAAAGUGAUGAUGCAGGUUCAUGGUUCAAAAUCAAACAAAAUGAAUAUAGCGAGUGGUUUUAAGCAAAUGGUGAAAGAAGGUGGUAUCCGAUCUCUUUGGAGGGGAAAUGGUGUAAAUGUUGUGAAAAUAGCUCCUGAAACAGCUAUUAAGUUCUGGGCUUAUGAACAGUAUAAGAAGCUACUAACCAAGGAUGAUGGAAAGUUAGGCACCAUUGAAAGAUUUAUAUCUGGUUCUUUGGCUGGGGCAACAGCACAAACCUCUAUUUAUCCCAUGGAGGUUUUAAAGACCAGACUGGCUGUGGGUAAAACAGGGCAAUAUUCUGGGAUGUUUGACUGUGCUAAGAAGAUUUUAAAAAGAGAAGGUGUAAAGGCCUUCUACAAAGGUUAUAUUCCUAAUAUUCUAGGGAUAAUUCCUUAUGCUGGCAUUGACCUUGCUGUUUAUGAGCUCUUAAAGACUACAUGGCUAGAACACUAUGCGUCAAGCUCUGCUAACCCAGGUGUUCUUGUAUUGUUGGGAUGUGGCACUGUUUCCAGCACGUGUGGGCAGUUAGCCAGCUACCCUCUUGCUCUUGUCAGAACACGCAUGCAGGCUCAAGCCUCAGUGGAAGGUGCUCCACAGCUAAACAUGGUUGCUCUCUUUCAAAGAAUUAUUACUACAGAAGGCAUACGAGGACUUUACAGGGGCAUAGCCCCUAAUUUUAUGAAGGUGCUUCCAGCUGUCAGCAUCAGCUAUGUUGUGUAUGAAAAAAUGAAGCAGAACUUGGGAAUAGCAUGAAGUGAAGGAAAAAGCUGUAGCAUCUGAAAGCUUGCUUGCGAAGAUGCCUUGUUGCUUCGUCACGGCGUAACUUGGGGGCUGUGGUACUCUUCUUCCCUCUCUCCAGAACGAAUGCUCUCCCAUCGCAGACCUGUGCGGUGCUGAUCAGCCAACUCUCCCCUGCCAGUUCACCAGAUUUACCCGGUUACUGGACCUGGCAGGUGAUGUUUGUUCAGCGAGUGAUGGCUCAGCUACAUCUACACCCUGAAAAUGGCCCGGGAGCCUUCCAGAUCCUCUAGAAUGCACAUCCUGCCAGAGGAAAUCUUAUACUUAGACACAUUUUAUUUAAAGAAUGUUUUACUUCUGCAAACCUGCAGCACAGUUACAUCAUAUGCUUUUCCUUGCAGAGGAUUGAAGGCAGUCAAGCUAGAACAAAUGCCCUGACAGAUCUGCUCUGCUUCUGUCUUUGGGUGAUCAUUUCUGUGGGAUACAGUUAUUUUGCCGGACUGGAGUUCAUAUUACCUUGGCAAGCUCUUUAAGAGCUCCCAAAGCCAUUGUGAAACCCUAGCUGACAGCUACUGGAUACAGCCGGAUGUGUCUGAGGGAUCCUGUCUCAUGUUCAUAUUCAUUCGCAAUAGCAGACAAAUUAUUGAAGAAUUCUGGUCAGUGAUCCAGCCUCAUUGACUUUGACUGUGAGAUAAGCAGGCUACCGAAGAAAUGCUGGAUGCUGGCCACCUCCCUAUCACUCACGUGCCGCUGAAAAGGACAGACUCAAGGCGCAGCUCUGUCUAGGAGUCACCUUAUUCCGUGUUUUCAAAGGGCAGGAAAAAACAAUUGGUGGAGACACAAGACUGCAUAUUCCCUAUUCACUCGUAGACUGCAUGCAACUGAAUUUUCUUUCCAAUAUAAUCAAGUGGGUCUAAUUGAGACAUGCUGAGCAUUAGCUCCAUGCUGGCUCAGCCAACACGCAGGCCUUUAUAACCCACAAAUGAAGACAGUUCUUUCCUUUUGCUUACAUCACUUUCUAUUAAUCAAAAAUACACUCAAAUGCUACAGGCAGAAGGCAGGAAAACUUUAAGCACCAGAACUGAUGAACCUGUCAGUGAACAAAGGAACAAGUAAGGAAAGGUGGUGAUGAAAGAGGCUCUUUUGCAAAGAGCUCUAGCAGCUUUGUUAUCUUUGCUCAGCACCUCAUCCGAAAGGGUGGUAUGACGGGGAGUCAUAGGUGCUGCUACAGCUCUGAUAGCAGUUGAAGAAGAGGAAUGUGUGUACACGUGUGCUUUGAUUUCAUUUUUUUUUUUAAUUCUGAACAAUAUAAGUAAUUUAAACCCUGCAGUUGUGGUGACAGUGGGGGAUACAGUUAUUUCAGAUGACUUGAAAAUUUGCCCUUAUAAAACAAAUUGAGUCUUUCUUUUUAAACAGUAACAAAAAAGGAUGCUGGAAGUUGCUCCUUGAUAGGAUGUAGCACAGGGAAAGAGUAAAGAAAAUAAAAAGAUUUAUGAUGUCAUCUUCAGCGAGGAGACAGUUGUCUCCAGAAAGGAGGAAAAAAAAAGCAAAAUCUAUUUUCAUGUGUGUUUUCAUCCUUCAGACUUGCUGUUCCUUUUUUUUUUUUUUUUUUAAUUAUGUAGUUGCCUUGCAGCAUUUUGACUGCAGGAUGGUAAAUCAGAGGUUUUACCGAUCUGAAGCUAAAGCUACUUCAGUGAAUGGCGUAAUGAUGUGUUAAUAAAAAUGUAUGUGAAAUAGAUUGAGCCUUUUGAGCAAUCUAAACUGAGAUCUGAUGUCAGGUGCACGAAUUCGUCUGUGCUAAUGAAAUUAUGGAGAUGGACUAAGGUGACUUUUAAACUGGCCCAUUUUUCAAUCCAGAGCAUCUUCCAAUCAGAAAGAUUUAAGAGCAAUUUUUGGAGUAUGAGGAAAGGGCAAUGAUAGAAAUAGCAAAAAAACUCCAUUAAGUACUUAGCAGCUGGUUCAUUUGAAAUAUCUGAUAUUUAAGCUUCAGAGUUUUUUUUUAAGUGACUUUUUUGCCAUUAAAAGUAUAAUCAUCAGGAAAAUGAAAGAAAAGCUUUGCAUGUGUUAACAGCAAAAAUAUAAAUCAAUGUAAAAGCAGCUCUUGAAGCAAAACAUAUUUAGGAAUAAUGGAAAAACUGAACUUACAGUAAGUGAUCAUGGACAAUAUAGGAAGUUGAAGGAGGUUGAGAAAAGUACUGUAAGACAGGAAGAAAGUAAAUGUGCACAUAUUCAUGAAACUCAGUGGCAAUGAGCUGACAUGAUGCAACACCUGUUCCUAAUGGAUUGCAAAAUGAGACAGUGGAAAGAACCCACAGACAAAUUCCUAUUUUUAUUCUGCUGGUGCCAGGCGAGUUAUAUUAUACCUACUUUAAUGUAACUAGAAUCAAAGUUGUUCUGUAUUUAUAGAACAAAUUUUAUUUUCUGCUGUACCUGCCUAGCCUAUUGACUUUGCAUGAAUGUGGGCAACCAUGGGCUUAUUAGAAAGCAAAUAGCAUUGAUAAAGUGUCCUAUCAUCACGUACGGAUCUUUCUGAUAAAUGACAAAAUUCCUCCCGGUAGCUUUUUUUUUUUUUUCUACCUCUCAUCUAAAGUAGCUAGCUGCCUUCCGUUCUAGCAAGGCCGUGCUAAUUACUAAUUUUGGCCAUGAAUCUGUU